This 505-nucleotide ribosomal RNA is filed under the name uncultured bacterium. RNAcentral's name for it is "partial 16S ribosomal RNA". It matches the Rfam family "Bacterial small subunit ribosomal RNA", at positions 28 to 507 of the family's 1533-position model. The record is from RNAcentral.
GACGAACGCUGGCGGCGUGCCUAAUACAUGCAAGUAGAACGCACAGUUUAUACCGUAGCUUGCUACACCAUAGACUGUGAGUUGCGAACGGGUGAGUAACGCGUAGGUAACCUGCCUGGUAGCGGGGGAUAACUAUUGGAAACGAUAGCUAAUACCGCAUAAUAUUGAUUAUUGCAUGAUAAUUGAUUGAAAGAUGCUAUUGCAUCACUACCAGAUGGACCUGCGUUGUAUUAGCUAGUAGGUGAGGUAACGGCUCACCUAGGCGACGAUACAUAGCCGACCUGAGAGGGUGAUCUGCCACACUGGGACUGAGACACGGCCCAGACGCCUACGAGAGGCAGCAGUAGGGGAGCUGCGGCAAUGGACGAAAGUCUGACCGAGCAACGCCGCGUGAGUGAAGAAUGUUUUCGGAUCGUAAAGCUCUGUUGUAAGAGAAGAACGGGUGUGAGAGUGGAAAGUUCACACUGUGGCGGUAUCUUACCAGAAAGGGACGGGUAACUACGUG